This 500-nucleotide ribosomal RNA is filed under the name uncultured bacterium. Its description in RNAcentral is "bacterial SSU rRNA". It matches the Rfam family "Bacterial small subunit ribosomal RNA", at positions 1029 to 1529 of the family's 1533-position model. The record is from RNAcentral.
GUGAGACAGGUGCUGCAUGGCUGUCGCCAGCUCGUGUUGUGAAAUGUUGGGUUAAGUCCCGCAACGAGCGCAACCCUUAUCCUUUGUUGCCAGCGGUCCGGCCGGGAACUCAAAGGAGACUGCCAGUGAUAAACUGGAGGAAGGUGGGGAUGACGUCAAGUCAUCAUGGCCCUUACGACCAGGGCUACACACGUGCUACAAUGGCGCAUACAAAGAGAAGCGACCCCGCGAGAGCAAGCGGACCUCAUAAAGUGCGUCGUAGUCCGGAUUGGAGUCUGCAACUCGACUCCAUGAAGUCGGAAUCGCUAGUAAUCGUGGAUCAGAAUGCCACGGUGAAUACGUUCCCGGGCCUUGUACACACCGCCCGUCACACCAUGGGAGUGGGUUGCAAAAGAAGUAGGUAGCUUAACCUUCGGGAGGGCGCUUACCACUUUGUGAUUCAUGACUGGGGUGAAGUCGUAACAAGGUAACCGUAGGGGAACCUGCGGCUGGAUCACCUC